GCGCUUGCACGCGGACCGGCGCAAAGCAUAUACUUAAUUGUCGAGCAAUCGACUAUGGCGAUAAAAGCCGGAUGGAAUAAGCGUUGCGGACCCGGGGGCAGUGCCCGGCGCCUCCACCAACUAACCACAAAAAGAACAGUGGCUUCACGGGGGCGAAACAGGAUCGACGUGCGUGGUAAAGGUUCGGUCUUCGCCCGGCAUGGUACCACCGAUAUCGGGCCAAUCGAUAUAUGCCAACGACAAUGAGGCAUAUGCUCUCGCCGCUUAAGGCGUGAGCGGGGUUCGGGAGGCACCUGGCACCAGAAGCCUCCCACU
RNAcentral lists this transfer-messenger RNA (315 nucleotides) under Rhodospirillales bacterium. It matches the Rfam family "Alphaproteobacteria transfer-messenger RNA". From Rfam's summary of the family: Bacterial tmRNA, also known as 10Sa RNA or SsrA, is named for its dual tRNA and mRNA-like properties. Its role is to liberate the mRNA from a stalled ribosome. To accomplish this part of the tmRNA is used as a reading frame that ends in a translation stop signal. The record is from RNAcentral. RNAcentral also lists the same sequence under 3 other names. Lineage: Bacteria; Pseudomonadati; Pseudomonadota; Alphaproteobacteria; Rhodospirillales.